GAGAGAGAGAGAGAGAGAGAGAGUGUACUUGCAAUAGCUCAGGGAUAGAGCACCUGAAUGGACACUCUCUCUCUCUCUCUCUCUCUC
This is a non-coding RNA of Podarcis lilfordi (Lilford's wall lizard), 87 nucleotides long. The record is from the annotation of a GenBank genome assembly. Lineage: Eukaryota; Metazoa; Chordata; Lepidosauria; Squamata; Lacertidae.